ACAAUAUUUCAUUAAUUACUUGAGAUGUAAAAGGAUAAAAACAAACACAUUUUUAUUUGGUAUCCCACCUUAUGUUGUCUUAGUCUACCUUCCCAACUCGUGAUUUUCAUUCGCGCGUACUGAUCAAUGACAAUGAUCAGCACUUUAGAGAUUCUACACUCGUACUUACAUGUAAAAUUGACUGUGAUAAUGACACGAGGCAGACACUCAUUCUUACUCUCAUUUGGUCGGAAUUGAAAAGAGCUUACUCUUUUUUCAAAAAAAUAAAAUUUUUAUUUGUUCUGACUUUUUUGUUGCAGGUAAAAAUGGUGAUUUAUCUAAAAAAUUUUGGAGCACCAAGGAUGCUGGUCAGAAGCCUUUCACCUUCCAGAUUGGGAAAGGCUCUGUUAUUAAAGGAUGGGAUGAAGGUGUAAUGGGAAUGCAAGUGGGAGAGGUUGCUCGUCUGCGGGUACUAGUGCCAUCCUGAUUAGUUAUUAUAUUUCAUGAUGCUAAUAGUGUGGUUUUUGUGUGCGUGUGAGUGUGUGUGUUUGUGGGAGCUUUUAGAGAAUUGAGAAGGACAUUAUGCUUACACAAAAAAUUACUUUUGUUUCCAA
Non-coding RNA from Carica papaya (papaya), 593 nucleotides. Lineage: Eukaryota; Viridiplantae; Streptophyta; Magnoliopsida; Brassicales; Caricaceae. The record is from RefSeq and is a predicted model, not a curated record.